AAGUAGGAAGCAAAUUCUUGCAUUUAGUUUCGACCUAAAAAUUUGAUGAUUCCAUCCCUACUUA
RNAcentral lists this transfer RNA (64 nucleotides) under Chrysomeloidea sp. 7 KM-2017. RNAcentral describes it as "tRNA-Arg". Lineage: Eukaryota; Metazoa; Arthropoda; Insecta; Coleoptera. The record is from RNAcentral.